Bombyx mori (domestic silkworm) is the source of this 84-nucleotide non-coding RNA. The record is from Rfam. Lineage: Eukaryota; Metazoa; Arthropoda; Insecta; Lepidoptera; Bombycidae.
UUAGCUCAUAUUUGUAUGGAAUGGGAUCGUUUGCCUACGUUUGCCGUUAGGGGCGCUGUUCCAACUGCAUACAAAAUUGGGUUA